UCGCACUAGUAGAGUUUGAUCCUGGCUCAGAAUGAACGCUGGCGGCAUGCCUAACACAUGCAAGUCGAACGAGACCUUCGGGUCUAGUGGCGCACGGGUGCGUAACGCGUGGGAAUCUGCCCUUGGGUUCGGAAUAACAGCGAGAAAUUGCUGCUAAUACCGAAUGAUGACGUAAGUCCAAAGAUUUAUCGCCCAAGGAUGAGCCCGCGUAGGAUUAGCUAGUUGGUGAGGUAAAAGCUCGCCAAGGCGACGAUCCUUAGCUGGUCUGAGAGGAUGAUCAGCCACACUGGGACUGAGACACGGCCCAGACUCCUACGGGAGGCAGCAGUGGGGAAUAUUGGACAAUGGGCGAAAGCCUGAUCCAGCAAUGCCGCGUGAGUGAUGAAGGCCUUAGGGUUGUAAAGCUCUUUUACCCGGGAUGAUAAUGAAGUACGGCAGGAAUAAGCAUCCGGCUAACUCCGUGCCAGCAGCCGCGG
Molecule: ribosomal RNA, 476 nt
Filed under: uncultured Sphingomonadaceae bacterium
Lineage: Bacteria; Pseudomonadati; Pseudomonadota; Alphaproteobacteria; Sphingomonadales; Sphingomonadaceae
Description: bacterial SSU rRNA
Rfam family: Bacterial small subunit ribosomal RNA
Source: RNAcentral